GUAUUUGGCCUAAACCCUCUAAAUGUUUAAAUGAAAUGAAUGUGUCUGUCGAAAUACACUUUUCCAACUGUUUUGUGCUCAUCCCAAAAAAAGAAAAAAAUGGGGACAAAAACUAAUACAGACAUUCAGCAAGAGCCCUGCACACCUCCUCACACAGUUUUAUAGCGGAGAUCUUAAAUAGAUUUAACUUUCAUCUACACACUUUCUCGCAGGUCUUUCCCAGGACUUUUUAGAGAGAGACAGAAUUCCCGUGUCGUACGGACAACAAAAAAAAGGCCUGCCAGCAAAAUAAACCCUGUGCAUUUUUUCUUGUUGGACCGUCCACAUGAUAAAACCCCCAAACAGUCUGAAGAGCUCGCCCUUUUACAGGCCGGGAUGGGGAGAAGGACCAUUCAGGUCCCUGAGGGUGCUUGCCACAAGGAGAUAACUUAUCUUCUUUGUGAAGUCUACUUCAAAAUGAAUGAGCUGGAGGGGGCAUGGAUGCUCCAUAAAGCCAUGGGUAAAAAAGCAUUUAAUAGCGUUUUUCAAAGCUUAAAAAUGUAAUGAAUUCCUUUUAAAUGUCUACUUGAGAAUGAUGACCAGAGCAACAUGGGUAAUAUCUUCUCCCAAACAGGAGGGUCUAGUCAGAGGCGGUUGACCUUAGUCUCCCCAGAUGAGAUGGGUUACACAGGGGCUGGGCUGUUCAAGUCCUGGGGAGGCAAGGGCUGUCUAUAUGUAAUGCCUAUACAACACCGACUGGACAUGUCUCCUCUGCCUUACACUGCACGGGAGUUUGAGGCAAUGCCAAAAGCCCGGUGUGUGUCGUGCAGUGAACAUGUGCCGUUGCAGCUAUUAAGUCUGCAUGUGGAGACCUGUACGACGCCGGAAGUUGAUGAGAUCCACUCUGACAAU
Sander lucioperca (pikeperch) is the source of this 891-nucleotide long non-coding RNA. RefSeq lists it as uncharacterized. The record is from RefSeq and is a predicted model, not a curated record. Lineage: Eukaryota; Metazoa; Chordata; Actinopteri; Perciformes; Percidae. The transcript is spliced from 3 exons.